Long non-coding RNA from Malania oleifera, 1063 nucleotides. RefSeq lists it as uncharacterized. The record is from RefSeq and is a predicted model, not a curated record. NCBI's taxonomy places the organism in Eukaryota, Viridiplantae, Streptophyta, Magnoliopsida, Santalales, Ximeniaceae. The transcript is spliced from 3 exons.
UGGGGAAAGGGGCGUGGAGCUGUGGUUUGCCCACUUGGGGGGUUGAGGGUUCGGACCUGGGUGGCUGGGCAUGUCGAAAAACCUCUCCAGGGACGACAACAACGUUUGGCCAUUCCCUAUUCCCAAAUUCAAAAUCCCAACUUCCCCAAUUCGAUUCCCAAAUGCCAAAUCUCAUUUCUCUUCUAGUUCUCAGUUUCUUAAAGUUAGAAACUUAGAAAUGUCAAGUUUGAACUUUCAGAUUCGAGCGCCAAAACUCACUACUGGUGUGAUUCAUGAAGCGGUGCAGGUGAUUCUUGUUCUAAUUGUGUUCAUGUAAUCGUGUUCGUUAUAGAGAGCAAAGCCGAGGGUUUUGUGGAAACGUGUUCAUCAGAGAGAGCAGCUAAGCAGAGAGCAGGUGAUUCGUGUUUGUGCAAUUGCAUUCGUGAAUCGCCUCUACGUGGCUUCGCCUGAGCAACUGAGCCCCUCUUCCUAGUUCCCGUCCCGAUCUACUCACCCUCUUCCCUGGAAUUGGUCUUUACAGCUUCUUCAUGAUAAAUUGAGAUCAAAGCAAUUGGAUACUUGAAGCUGUUCCAAAUUUGUGUGGCUGAGACCCGUGUCCGAUUGGCGUUUCCAGCUUGUCGUUCCUCCUCCUAGUCGGCCAAGGGGUGGGGGGCCUUCUGACACUGCCUCCCAAAGGUCUUGGUUUCAAUGUAAGAUUGCCUAAUCAUUCUUCUCGCUGUCGUCGUCAUCACAAUAACUGAAUGGAAGUGGGACUGAUUUGAAUGCUCUGUACUUGCCAACAUUGUUCAAGUGCUCAUUCUCCAACCUGAUUGAAUACGACUUAAAACUCUCAAAUACAGACUAAACAAGAAUGAGCAGCAGGCCUACUUCCCAUAAUUUUUGUUGCACGCUGAAUAUAAUGGUAAGGGAUUACUAGAACACCCUAGGCUCUGGCCAGUGAAAACGAUGGAAAACAUCCAUCCCUACUAUAUGACUGCAUUGAUUGGUGGCAUGUGACAUAAUGGCAAGUAGUUGUACUUUGCUACAUAGGAAUGAGAUAGAAUCAACAUCUUGAUUUAUUUUA